Molecule: non-coding RNA, 231 nt
Organism: Paramuricea clavata
Lineage: Eukaryota; Metazoa; Cnidaria; Anthozoa; Malacalcyonacea; Plexauridae
Source: the annotation of a GenBank genome assembly
GCACGCGGGAUGUCAUGGGAGAUUUAGACACUUUCGGCCAAUCAUAGUGAAAAAGGCGUUGCCCCAACGCAUUCUUCAUUAUGAUUGGCGGAAAGUGCCUAAAUCUCCCAUUACAACAUUCGCAUUUCCGCUUGACAACAUUUAAAUUUGCCCUUGGUAACUUGUACGUUUCAACGAUCAAACUGCGCGGCAAAACUUCUUGUCUCUAAGCUCAACUGCAAAUCGCAGUAU